GACGAACGCUGGCGGCGUGCCUAAUACAUGCAAGUAGAACGCACAGUUUAUACCGUAGCUUGCUACACCAUAGACUGUGAGUUGCGAACGGGUGAGUAACGCGUAGGUAACCUGCCUGGUAGCGGGGGAUAACUAUUGGAAACGAUAGCUAAUACCGCAUAAUAUUGAUUAUUGCAUGAUAAUUGAUUGAAAGAUGCUAUUGCAUCACUACCAGAUGGACCUGCGUUGUAUUAGCUAGUAGGUGAGGUAACGGCUCACCUAGGCGACGAUACAUAGCCGACCUGAGAGGGUGAUCGGCCACACUGGGACUGAGACACGGCCCAGACUCCUACGGGAGGCAGCAGUAGGGAAUCUUCGGCAAUGGACGAAAGUCUGACCGAGCAACGCCGCGUGAGUGAAGAAGGUUUUCGGAUCGUAAAGCUCUGUUGUAAGAGAAGAACGGGUGUGAGAGUAGAAAGUUCACACUGUGACGGUAUCUUACCAGAAAGGGACGGCUAACUACGUG
RNAcentral lists this ribosomal RNA (505 nucleotides) under uncultured bacterium. Its description in RNAcentral is "partial 16S ribosomal RNA". It matches the Rfam family "Bacterial small subunit ribosomal RNA", at positions 28 to 507 of the family's 1533-position model. The record is from RNAcentral.